GACGAACGCUGGCGGCGUGCUUAACACAUGCAAGUCGAACGGAAAGGCCCUGCUUUUGUGGGGUGCUCGAGUGGCGAACGGGUGAGUAACACGUGAGUAACCUGCCCUUGACUUUGGGAUAACUUCAGGAAACUGGGGCUAAUGCCGGAUAGGAGCUCCUGCUGCAUGGUGGGGGUUGGAAAGUUUCGGCGGUUGGGGAUGGACUCGCGGCUUAUCAGCUUGUUGGUGGGGUAGUGGCUUACCAAGGCUUUGACGGGUAGCCGGCCUGAGAGGGUGACCGGCCACAUUGGGACUGAGAUACGGCCCAGACUCCUUCGGGAGGCAGCAGUGGGGAAUAUUGCACAAUGGGCGGAAGCCUGAUGCAGCAACGCCGCGUGCGGGAUGACGGCCUUCGGGUUGUAAACCGCUUUCGCCUGUGACGAAGCGUGAGUGACGGUAAUGGGUAAAGAAGCACCGGCUAACUACGUG
This 468-nucleotide ribosomal RNA is filed under the name uncultured bacterium. Its description in RNAcentral is "partial 16S ribosomal RNA". It matches the Rfam family "Bacterial small subunit ribosomal RNA", at positions 28 to 507 of the family's 1533-position model. The record is from RNAcentral.